CAUGAGAAAUGUUUCUAAUUAGGAGCCUGUUUGGAUGGGCUUAUGCCUAUAAGCUGUUUGCAGCUUAUAAGCAAAAAAAAAAAAAAAGUUGGGGUAGUCUAACUUAUUUUUUUUGGCUUAUAAGCUGUUUCCAACUUAUAAGCUGCUUUAGAUAAGCUAAGUCAAAUGGGCCCAAUUAUUUUUUUGAGCUUAUUUUAAGCACAAAAUGACUUUAAGCUGGCCAGCCAAACACUCAAAAAAGCUGAAAACAGCUUAUAAGCAACUUAUAAGCCAAUCCAAACGGGCUCCUCCAUACUUGAAUGACAUGCAGGAUUGUACCUGAGGCAUCUAGAAUUUUUGGUGUCUUGGAGGACAUAUGGAGCUUAUCUUUCUAAGUUUGCACUACAUCCAAAACUCAAAAGAACCUAGAAUUUUGGCGAUCUAAAGCAGAGGGAUCAAAUGCUCAAAAACUUUGCUUCAUGGUAUGUGAGCGAGGACCAUAUGCAUUUAUUAAUGGCACAGUUCAACUGAUUUGUGAUUGUGUUGGGGAUGGUUCUGGGGUGGAGCACACAUAUUGUAUGGCAUCUUCAUACAUAUCCGAGAGUAUAAUUGUCUUGAGUAGCUUAAGAUACCAUUUAGCUACAUUUUUGGCUCAGGUAUGAAAAGGAACUGAUGCAUCCAAUUCAAAAUCUCUUAUCCGGGGAGCUUGCUCGUGCUCUUCUUAUCCAGGUCCAGAAGCUGAAGCUUAAUAUUGAGGAGUGAGUUAGUGCUACUUUUCUUUUUCCUACAGAUGAAACACCUCGGAAUUCAAGUGCUUCUGGUUUCCGGAUCUGAUCUCAGUAUGUCGAAAACAGGGCUAUGCUGGAGCUAGAUCAAAUUCUUAGAGCAGUCAUAAGACUUGGUUUACUGCUGUUGCUGCUGCUAUGACUUCUGCUUAUGCAGUGGAUUGUGAAACAAUUUCCUGUUUCUUAGAUGACCAUGAAAAGAUUCCUGAACCUAGGCUGAAACAAUGUCCAGAAGUACUUCUCAUAUCAUCAACGGAUCCAGCCCAGUCACUAUAUGAUACGCUCAAAUUACACCUAUUAAUGGCGUAAAGCGGACGUUGUCAAAUAUAGUAACCCAAACAAGGUUGGGGUCGAAUUCCACAGGGAAUAUGGAGAGAAAAAAGUACUAAUUGUAUGCGAUACUAGUCUUUAAAGGCUUUAAUCCUAUUCCGAAUAUUUUGAAAAGAGAUUUGGUAUGUAUUCGCUAUUUUGAAGUGUUUGGAAUUUGUUUGGAUUUGGAGAACCAAAGUUGUGUCCAUGCGAUGAUUAGAUGUUAUGCUAUGGGUGUCAAUAUGAUAUAUUUCUAAUAGGUCGGGGUUAUGUAUGCA
This is an RNA transcript of Lycium barbarum (goji berry), 1351 nucleotides long. It is a transcript of the gene named protein DGS1, mitochondrial-like, with no coding region annotated. The transcript has 4 exons. The record is from RefSeq and is a predicted model, not a curated record. Lineage: Eukaryota; Viridiplantae; Streptophyta; Magnoliopsida; Solanales; Solanaceae.